UACAGAGACUGCAAGCGUUAUUCGGAUUCACUGGGCGUAAAGGGGGCGCAGGUGGCCAAGUGUGUUAGGCGUGAAAGCCCGGGGCUUAACCCCGGAAUUGCACCUAAAACUACUUGGCUAGAGCAUUGGAGAGGGGAGCAGAAUUCAUGGUGUAGCAGUGAAAUGCGUAGAUAUCAUGAGGAAUACCAGAGGCGAAGGCGGCUCCCUGGACAAUUGCUGACACUCAGGCACGAAAGCGUGGGGAGCAAAAGGG
This 253-nucleotide ribosomal RNA is filed under the name uncultured bacterium. RNAcentral's name for it is "partial 16S ribosomal RNA". It matches the Rfam family "Bacterial small subunit ribosomal RNA", at positions 524 to 776 of the family's 1533-position model. The record is from RNAcentral.